RNAcentral lists this ribosomal RNA (482 nucleotides) under uncultured bacterium. Its description in RNAcentral is "bacterial SSU rRNA". It matches the Rfam family "Bacterial small subunit ribosomal RNA", at positions 29 to 506 of the family's 1533-position model. The record is from RNAcentral.
UUGAACGCUGGCGGAAUGCUUUACACAUGCAAGUCGAGCGGCAGCGCGGGGGCAACCCUGGCGGCGAGCGGCGAACGGGUGAGUAAUACAUCGGAACGUACCCAGUUGUGGGGGAUAGCCCGGCGAAAGCCGGAUUAAUACCGCAUAAGUCCUGAGGGAGAAAGCGGGGGACCGUAAGGCCUCGCGCGAUUGGAGCGGCCGAUGUUCGAUUAGCUAGUUGGUGGGGUAAAGGCCUACCAAGGCGACGAUCGAUAGCUGGUCUGAGAGGACGACCAGCCACACUGGAACUGAGACACGGUCCAGACUCCUACGGGAGGCAGCAGUGGGGAAUUUUGGACAAUGGGCGCAAGCCUGAUCCAGCAAUGCCGCGUGCAGGAUGAAGGCCUUCGGGUUGUAAACUGCUUUUGUACGGAACGAAAAGACUCCUUCUAAUAAAGGGGGUUCAUGACGGUACCGUAAGAAUAAGCACCGGCUAACUACGU